AGGGCGUGGCGGUGUCGCCACGUGGGCUGAAGCUGCUGCCCUGCGCGGGGCCGGUCCGUCGGUCCGUGCUCUCGUUCUGAUGGCGGUUUGUCGUUCCGAGCUCAUCUGUGGGUGUUUAACCCGCUGGCUGUGCAGGAGUGAUUUUUCUCAGGACUCGCACCGUGGCGUGGAGCGCCAGCAGCAGAGGGGCUCUGGCGGUCUCUGUCCGUGCCCGGUCGGCUGCUCCUCUCCCUUCUCUGCUCAUCUUAGGGUUUCUUUAACGGCUCUGUUUGUGGUCACAUCCCUGUGCUGCUCUUCUCAGCGCGGGUGUGCGCUUUCCUUUGAUUUGAGCUUGUUUUCUGGUCUCCAUCAGCUCUGCAGGCACCUCGUGUCGGUGCGCGCUGUGUCUGCUGGGACGUCGAUCCGCAGGGAGGGGAGCACAAAAAAUCCGCGUCCCGUUAAGCGGGGCAGAGCAGCAGCAGCAGCUGAAGGCUCUGAAGUUCACAGGCUGCUGUCUGCACGUGGAGGUGUUGCGUUGUUUCACCACGUGGCCUCGGUUCUGCAGGACAAAUCCAUCAUUGGAGAGGUCUGGGCAUCCCUGCUAUGUCCCAUUGGUGUCAGCAUUGGUGGAAGGAAGAGAACCAGUCCCUGCUGUGAUGCUGGGGUGCCCUAUGCUGAAUUCCACAGGUGCCAAGAGAGGAGGAACUGCCACUUCCUAGGCUGUAAAAAUGCCUUGAGCUGCUGCUGCUGUUUCCACACACUAACAGUCAUCAGAUGUUGGCUAUCCUUUACCAACAGCUUUUUGUGGAGGCAGUGGAAUGGAAGUGUUUCCUCAGAGGGCCCACUGCUACCUGCCUGCUGUCUGCAUUGGUUUCUCCCUCUGAUCCCAUGGAGCUCGCAAGGCUUUCCCAGUGCAUUCAUUCAUUCAGUGCCUCCCACAAAGGGGCCUCUUCAGAAUGGGACCAGAGCACUCUCCACUGCUCCUCAUAUGCCAGCCAAUCGCUCCAGUGUUACCGUCUGGGCUCUUUUUAAUCUGGUUGAGUCCAUGAGAAAUGAAAGCUUUUAUCUCAACUUCUGUAGAGUAGUAAUAAUAACCUGCUGUAAGCCUGGCUGUCCCGAAUGUCACUGCUGGCUCAGGAAAACAAGAUAA
Molecule: long non-coding RNA, 1129 nt
Filed under: Meleagris gallopavo (turkey)
Lineage: Eukaryota; Metazoa; Chordata; Aves; Galliformes; Phasianidae
Description: lncRNA (ENSMGAG00000021719.1)
Source: RNAcentral